GUAGAAAUAAAGACUGAUGGAGAAGGGAGGAGAUUAGAGCUGUGUGUUGUAUUUAGAGGAGGGACUCCAUCAUUUAAAAAGACAGAAGUUCCUGGUUUACCAGUGAGGAAGGAAGAGAGGCAGCAGUAAACCAUCAGAGCGUCAGCAUGAAAGUCCAUCACACUUUGAUCUGUUUCUUCUUCCUCUCACUGUGUGGGGGAGACUCCGGGCUCGUCAGUGCAACCACGUUUGCAGGAGCUGUAGGAGGAACUGGUGGAAUUAGUUGCUUCUUGUCUCUGUCUGGAAGCAACAAGUUCUUCUGUAAGGAACAAUGUAAAGCAGAAGAUAUUCUCAUUAAAACAGAUGGCCUCACAGCUCAGAGUGGCAGAUACAGCACUGCAUUCAGAAACACUUCUUCUGAAAGAGGAAUUCUCACUGUGACCAUCACAAAUCUGACCAAGUCCGACUCAGCAUGGUACAGGUGUGGUUUGGGACCAACCGUUGUUCCAUAUUCAUAUGCUGACUUUGAGAUCAGAGUUUUAGAUGCAACGUUGGAUGGAAUCUCUGGUUUUGUCCAUGCAGAUACUGAAGGAGAAACUAUUGUUUAUGGAUGCCACGGUACUGUUUACGGAAAGCAGAAGUUCUUGUGUGACCAAGUCAGACACAGGAUGGUACAAGUGUGGUUACGGCAGAGCUUUGUCUCCAGAUUCAUACAGGAUGUACCCGGUCCUUGUCAUUGAUGGACUCUUUGACCUUCAAACAUCAUCGCCAUCAGCCUCCACACCAACAACAACAUCAACAACAACACCAACAACGACAACAAAGUCGACAG
Molecule: long non-coding RNA, 811 nt
Filed under: Dicentrarchus labrax (European seabass)
Lineage: Eukaryota; Metazoa; Chordata; Actinopteri; Moronidae
Description: lncRNA (ENSDLAG00005016466.2)
Source: RNAcentral